UACGUAGGGUGCAGGCGUUAAUCGGAAUUACUGGGCGUAAAGUGUGCGCAGGCGGCCGAGCAAGUCGAGUGUGAAAGCCCCGAGCUUAACUUGGGAACUGCGCUCGAAACUACUUGGCUAGAGUGUGGCAGAGGGAGGUGGAAUUCCACGUGUAGCGGUGAAAUGCGUAGAGAUGUGGAGGAACACCGAUGGCGAAGGCAGCCUCCUGGGCCAACACUGACGCUCAUGCACGAAAGCGUGGGGAGCAAACGGG
This 253-nucleotide ribosomal RNA is filed under the name uncultured bacterium. RNAcentral describes it as "partial 16S ribosomal RNA". It matches the Rfam family "Bacterial small subunit ribosomal RNA", at positions 524 to 776 of the family's 1533-position model. The record is from RNAcentral.